UUAAGUGCGAGGUCUAGGGUUGGAAUCUCAAAAAAAAAUUGUUUGUUUUUUUGCCUUUUUGAUUUUUAUAUGUUUCUACACUUUCUCAUUAUUACAAUUAUCCAUAUUUUUUUAUUAUUUUCAUUGUUAUUAAUAUACAAUUAGUUUUUUUUUUAUAAUAGAAAUAUAUUUUAUUAUCUUUAUCAUUUAAUUAAUAUCAUAAUCCAUCAUUAUUAUAUUAAUAACCAAAUAUUC
RNAcentral lists this long non-coding RNA (234 nucleotides) under Lathyrus oleraceus (garden pea). RNAcentral's name for it is "Pisum sativum (pea) long non-coding RNA (PSAT_LNC029561)". Lineage: Eukaryota; Viridiplantae; Streptophyta; Magnoliopsida; Fabales; Fabaceae. The record is from RNAcentral.